AUCCUUUUGUAGUUCAUAAGCGUGAUGAUUGGGUGUUCACGCCACUGUGUGACAUGUGCCACCCUUAAACCUUGUUACAUCGGCAUAUUACCUGUCUGAUG
This 101-nucleotide small nucleolar RNA is filed under the name Suricata suricatta (meerkat). Its description in RNAcentral is "Small nucleolar RNA U13 (ENSSSUG00005022090.1)". It matches the Rfam family "Small nucleolar RNA U13". Lineage: Eukaryota; Metazoa; Chordata; Mammalia; Carnivora; Herpestidae. The record is from Rfam by way of RNAcentral.